CUAUAAAAAGAUGAAGCGGCCCAUUUGCCGUCAUGGGCAUCUUCUGGUCUCUGGGACCGCCCACUUCCUGGUGCGCACUUCUGCUUAGCCUCAUAGCUCCGGAAAACACCGCAGCCCAAUCUCGCCAUAAACCGAGCUUCUGCGAUUUGCGUGCUGUUUUGUUUCUGGUGACGAACAGCCUGGGACUUUCUGUGCUCCCAGUAAUGUCGGAUCAGCUGCUGUUUUUUUAAAUCUGAAUUUCUGGACGACUUCACCUUCGCUUGUUCUUAACUACGCUGUGUACGUCGAGGAUUCUGCUGGGGUGGCUCUCCCUGCAACGUCCGUUGGAGGUGCAUGAGGAAGACAUACCAGGGCACUCCCGGACUCUGCCCCCCACUGGAGAACAUGAGCGGUUCUCAUCUCCAGACUUUUAACUGAAUACCCGUUUAGCUUGGUGCUUUUAAGUGCUGAGGACCCAGUCUCGUGCCCAGGUGGAGGUUUCCCUCGUUUGGAGUGUCGUGUCCUGGUGAAGGGAUUCACGUGUGAGUGUGCCAUAUCACGAGCUUGGGGUGAAUUACAUUUUAGUUGUUUUGUUUUGGGGGCCUCCACCUUGCGUA
Oryzias melastigma (Indian medaka) is the source of this 596-nucleotide long non-coding RNA. RefSeq lists it as uncharacterized. The record is from RefSeq and is a predicted model, not a curated record. Lineage: Eukaryota; Metazoa; Chordata; Actinopteri; Beloniformes; Adrianichthyidae. The transcript has 3 exons.